Molecule: long non-coding RNA, 1458 nt
Filed under: Macaca fascicularis (crab-eating macaque)
Lineage: Eukaryota; Metazoa; Chordata; Mammalia; Primates; Cercopithecidae
Description: lncRNA (ENSMFAG00000061365.1)
Source: RNAcentral
AAUUUCACAGUGAUUUCUGGGGUGGGGGCAGAAGGAAGGCGGUGUUAAGAAUCAUUGGGGCUAUGGCCCAGUCAACCCACGGAGGUGCAGGCAGGGUGGGCCCUCACUGGGGCAGCUGGAGGAGCACGGGCUGCCCCACCUGCAGGUAGGUGAUGUUCCGAGAACGUGAGAGCUGGUAUGCAAUGUCCUCCGCGGCUUCCAGCUUGCGCAGCUCGAUCAGGCCAUCCCCUGCGGUAGCCAGUGAGUUGGCAAUCAGCUCAGCUGCCUUGGAGUCGCCCUCAGCAGGGAUGAUGGCUGCCUUUUUCUGCUGCUCAGCCUUUUCCACCACAAAUCUGGCCCUCUCUGCUUCCUGCUGAGCCACCUGUUUGGCUUCACCGCUUCUGUGAACUCCUUCCCGAAGGUCAGAUGUGUCAAGGACAUGUCAUCCAGGAUGAGCCCAAAGGUGGCUGCUCACUCUGUAAGAUCGUCGCUCACCUGCCUGGAGACCAGCUCCCUCUGGGUGAUGAGUUCUCCAGCAUCAAAGCGAGCCACCACUGACUUGAAGAUCUCGGUCGUGAUGGACGGCAGCACACGCUCAUCAUAGUCCUCUCCGAUGCUGGUGAAGAUGCGAGGAAGCUGGCUAGUGACUGGCGGGAAGAGGAUGCGCAGUGUGAAGUUGACAUUCUGUAAAUCUUUGCUACCAGUGAUGACUGGCACAUGACGUGGUCGAGAACGGCGGUCAAAGAUAAUUGGUUUCUGUAUCCAUGGGAUGAGAAAGUGAGUCCCUUUCCCUACCACAAUGUCCUGUACUCCAUGGAACCGGUCCAAGAUGACAGCUCUGUGCCAAGCAUCCACAUUAUAUGAGGCAGAGUUCACCACGCCUCCUGUAACAGCUAAGGCCAGACCAAACUUGCCAAUGGACUCAAACACUUUGGCAGCCAUGUUUUCUUUUGCUGGACCCUCUCACUCCUGCUUCCACUCUGACGACCACAUGACUUCCCCAACCACGCAUACUAUGCAUGCGCUCCUCUCGGAAUUGUUUUUAAACAGGGCCUUCUCUUCCACGUGCUGGUGGGAUUGUGUGCUGGCUUUCUGGAAAGUCACUUGAUAACCCGUAAUGAUACUUUAAAAAGAAUGACUCAGUAAUUUCACUUAUAGGAAUGAUUCUAAUGAAAUGACAAGCCGGGCGCAGUGGUUCAUGCCUGUAAUCCCAGCACCUUGGGAGGCUGAGGCGGGCAGAUCACCCGAGGUCAGGAGUUCGAGACCAGCCUGACCAACAUGGAGAAACCCCGUCUCUACUAAAGAUACAAAAUUAGCCCGGCAUGGUGGCACAUGCCUGUAAUCCCAGCUACUCGGGAGGCUGAGGCAGGAUAAUCGCUUGAACUCGGGAGGCAGAGGUUGUGGUGAGCUGAGAUCAUGCCAUUGCACUCCAGCCUGGGCAACAAGAAUGAAACUCAGUCUCAAAAAAAAAAAAAAAAA